GAUGAACGCUGGCGGCGUGCCUAAUACAUGCAAGUCGAGCGAACGGACGAGAAGCUUGCUUCUCUGAUGUUAGCGGCGGACGGGUGAGUAACACGUGGAUAACCUACCUAUAAGACUGGGAUAACUUCGGGAAACCGGAUCUAAUACCGGAUAAUAGUUUGAACCGCAUGGUUCAAAAGUGAAAGACCGUCUUGCUGUCACUUAUAGAUGGAUCCGCGCUGCAUUAGCUAGUUGGUAAGGUAACGGCUUACCAAGGCAACGAUGCAUAGCCGACCUGAGAGGGUGAUCGGCCACACUGGAACUGAGACACGGUCCAGACUCCUACGGGAGGCAGCAGUAGGGAAUCUUCCGCAAUGGGCGAAAGCCUGACGGAGCCACGCCGCGUGAGUGAUGAAGGUCUUCGGAUCGUAAAACUCUGUUAUUAGGGAAGAACAUAUGUGUAAGUAACUGUGCACAUCUUGACGGUACCUAAUCAGAAAGCCACGGCUAACUACGUG
Molecule: ribosomal RNA, 497 nt
Filed under: uncultured bacterium
Lineage: Bacteria
Description: partial 16S ribosomal RNA
Rfam family: Bacterial small subunit ribosomal RNA
Source: RNAcentral